CAGGGAAGUGAAACAUCUCAGUACCUGCAGGAAGGGAUACUCCGUGAGUAGUGGCGAGCGAAAGCGGAUCAGACCAAACCGGUUGCGCGUGAUACCCGUCGGGGGUUGCGUUGCCGGUGUCGUGGGAUCACGUGUCCCGGUUCCGACGGGCCGGGCGGGAGUCAUAAAACGGCUUGCCAGGGGAACAGGCUUGAAGGCCUGGCCGUAGAGGGUGCCAGCCCCGUACCUGGAAGCUUGCCGUCUUCCGAUCAUGUGUCCCAAGUAGCGCGGGCCUCGUGGAAUCCCGCGUGAAUCAGCCCAGACCGUUGGGUAAGUCUAAGCAUACCUGUCUGACCGAUAGCGUACCAGUACCGUGAGGGAAAGGUGAAAAGCACCCCGGGAGGGGAGUGAAACAGUUCCUGAAACCGUGCGCCCACAAACCGUCGGAGCCUCCUUGUGGGGUGACGGCGUGCCUAUCGAAAAAUGAGUCUGCGAGUCAGUGGCGGGUGGCGAGCAUAAGCCGUGUGGCGUAUGCGUAGCGAAAGCGAGUCUUAAAAGGCGUUUUUAGUCGCUUGUCCUGGACCCGAAGCGGGAUGAUCUAGCCCUGGGCAGGUUGAAGCGCGGGUAAGACCGCGUGGAGGACCGAACCCACCUGGGUUGAAAACCGGGGGGAUGACCUGGGGCUAGGGGUGAAAGGCCAAUCAAAUUCCGUGAUAGCUGGUUCUCUCCGAAAUGCAUUUAGGUGCAGCGUCGGUCGAUUGCGUCGCGGGGGUAGAGCUACCGGAUGCUUGCGGGCCCUUGUUGGGUACCAACAGCAGCCGAACUCCGAAUACCGUUGACGUGUAUUCCGGCAGUGAGUCGGCGGGGGAUAAGCUCCGUCGUCGAGAGGGAGACAGCCCAGACCGUCGUCUAAGGUCCCGAAGCGUGUGCUAAGUGGGAAAGGAUGUGGAGUCGCAUAGACAGCCAGGAGGUUGGCUCAGAAGCAGCCAUCCUUGAAAGAGUGCGUAACAGCUCACUGGUCUAGUGGUUCCGCGCCGACAAUGUAGCGGGGCUCAAGCACACCACCGAAGACGCGGCAGCAAUCUUCAUGGUUGCUGGGUAGGAGAGCGUCCUGCAUGGGGCGAAGCGGCCGGGUAACCGUGCCGUGGACCGUGUGGGAGUGAGAAUGCAGACAUGAGUAGCGAGAGACGGGUGAGGAUCCCGUCCGCUGGAUGACCAAGGGUUCCGGGGCCACGUUCGUCGUCCCCGGGUGAGUCGGGUCCUAAGGCGAGGCCGACAGGCGUAGUCGAAUGGAUGAACGGGUGGAUAUUCCCGUACCGACCAUGGACCGGCAAAACCGAGACGGUGAGUACUAACCUCCGCCUCGUGGUGGUUCCUUCUUUCGGGUUGGUUCCGCCGCGUGGUGUUGGGAGCGUAGCCGCAGUAGGUCAGCGCAGGGGUGACACGGAAUGGGAGCCGGCCGCGGAGGUGGUUUUCCGUGGUCAAGCACGCAGCCAGUCAUGUAGGCAAAUCCGCAUGGCGUGCAUGGCGAGGUGUGAUGAUGGGAGCCGUUAUGGCUCGAUAUCCGGUUGUCCAGGCCGUCGAGAAAAGCCUCGGCGUGAGGGCCAUGGCCGCCCGUACCCCAAACCGACACUGGUGGUCAGGUAGAGAAUACCAAGGCGAUCGAGCGAAUCCUGGUCAAGGAACUCGGCAAAUCACUCCCGUUCCUUCGGUUUAAGGGAGACCCCCGAUGGUGAACACACUUGCUGUGGGAGCUUUUGGGGGUGGCACAGACCAGGGGGUAGCGACUGUUUACCAAAAACACAGGUGCAUGCGAAGGCGCAAGCCGCUGUAUAUGCACUGACGCCUGCCCGGUGCCGGAAGGUUAAGAGGAUCCGUCAGUCCUUCGGGAUGAAGCGGUGAAUUCAAGCCCCGGUAAACGGCGGUGGUAACUAUAACCAUCCUAAGGUAGCGAAAUUCCUUGUCGGGUAAGU
RNAcentral lists this ribosomal RNA (1952 nucleotides) under human gut metagenome. RNAcentral describes it as "bacterial LSU rRNA". It matches the Rfam family "Bacterial large subunit ribosomal RNA", at positions 186 to 1981 of the family's 2925-position model. The record is from RNAcentral.